GAUGAAGAACGCAGCGAAAUGCGAUAAGUAAUGUGAAUUGCAGAAUUCAGUGAAUCAUCGAAUCUUUGAACGCACCUUGCACCCUUUGGCAUUCCGAAGGGUAUGCUCGUUUGAGUGUCAUUGUACUCUCACACUUCCAAUCUUUGGAUUGGGGGCGCUGGACUUGGGUGUUGCUGCUUACUGUGGCUCACCUCAAAUUGAUUCGUGCACCUCUUGGUUGGACAUAGUACGGCGUGAUAAGUGUCUUCGCCGGCACCUCAGUAGAGGGUGGCUGAUCGGGAGCUCUGUGCUUCAAACCGUCCUCGGACAACAACUGACAACUUGACCUCAAAUCGAGUAGGACUACCCGCUGAACUUAAGCAUAUCAAUAAGCGGAGGA
RNAcentral lists this unclassified non-coding RNA (379 nucleotides) under soil metagenome. RNAcentral describes it as "partial contains 5.8S ribosomal RNA, internal transcribed spacer 2, and large subunit ribosomal RNA". The stretch from base 1 to 120 matches the Rfam family "5.8S ribosomal RNA", at positions 35 to 154 of the family's 154-position model. The record is from RNAcentral.